AAGGAUGCCAAAGCUGCAACAAAGGAGUCGGCUCUCAGUGCAAGAGCAGGGGUUAAGAACUUGGCUCAAGUCUCAGCAUAGUAUGAGCAGGAGAAUAAAAUAUGUUGUCCUGUUUCAAUAGGAAAAGGAGAAAACUU
Long non-coding RNA from Sphaerodactylus townsendi, 137 nucleotides. RefSeq lists it as uncharacterized. The record is from RefSeq and is a predicted model, not a curated record. NCBI's taxonomy places the organism in Eukaryota, Metazoa, Chordata, Lepidosauria, Squamata, Sphaerodactylidae. The transcript is spliced from 3 exons.